UACGAAGGGGGCUAGCGUUGCUCGGAAUUACUGGGCGUAAAGCGCACGUAGGCGGCUUUCUAAGUCGGGGGUGAAAUCCUGGAGCUCAACUCCAGAACUGCCUUCGAUACUGGAAGACUUGAGUCCGGGAGAGGUGAGUGGAACUGCGAGUGUAGAGGUGAAAUUCGUAGAUAUUCGCAAGAACACCAGUGGCGAAGGCGGCUCACUGGCCCGGUACUGACGCUGAGGUGCGAAAGCGUGGGGAGCAAACAGG
RNAcentral lists this ribosomal RNA (253 nucleotides) under uncultured bacterium. RNAcentral's name for it is "partial 16S ribosomal RNA". It matches the Rfam family "Bacterial small subunit ribosomal RNA", at positions 524 to 776 of the family's 1533-position model. The record is from RNAcentral.